UGGCCCGCCACGUGCUCUCAGCUGGCCUGUAUGGCAAGCCUCCCCCUGCUUCCCCUGCUAGCCUUGAGUGUAGGCGCCUUGAGGCAAGGCCCUCUAG
Molecule: non-coding RNA, 97 nt
Organism: Rattus norvegicus (Norway rat)
Lineage: Eukaryota; Metazoa; Chordata; Mammalia; Rodentia; Muridae
Source: Rfam